CCCCUUUUAUUUUCAAGUAUCAAGUUUCUUUAUUUAACGAACGUUGUCAAAGGAUAAUGAUAUAUAAAAAUCGUGUAGUUUUGCUGUAAAAAGCUUGGAGAAGUAGUGCUGGUGUUAUCUUGUCUGCUCCAUUUAUCCAUUAAAUAUAUGUAUGAAGAAGAAGAAAUACCACGUUGCCUCUCCUUCUUCUUCUCAUUCUGAUAUAAAGUUGUUGGGAUCGGCUUAUCUUACACUCCUACAUAUAUAUAAGAAAUAGUUAAUGCAAGCAGUGAGAGGAGGAGGAGGAGGAGGAAGAAGAAGAAGAUGAUGAUGUUGUACUUGUGGUUGGGAUUUAUGUAUGGGUUAAUGAUGUGCUCUUUAACAUGGAAAUGUGUAAACUGUUCUGAAUUCGAACACUCUCAGCCUCUGCCUCUCCAAGAUUGGAAUAAUAAUGUCACUUAUAAAGCAGCAGCAUUUGCAUAUGCAUAUGCUCGCCGCACACCACCGUUAAUGGUGGGUCUUACACUUGUUAAUGCGGCUGCUUCAAAGGGAGCUGUCUGCCUGGACGGCUCAUUACCAGGAUACCACAUCCACAGAGGAUAUGGAUCAGGGGCAAACAGUUGGCUCGUUCAAUUGGAGGGCGGAGGAUGGUGUAAUUCAAUCAGAAAAUGUGUUUUUAGUAAGAAAACACGCCAUGGUUCUUCACAUUAUAUGGAAAAGCAUAUACCUUUUGAAGGCAUUCUCAGCAACAAAAAUGAAGAAAAUCCUGAUUUUUAUAAUUGGAACAGGGUCAAGGUUCGUUAUUGUGAUGGUGGAUCUUUCAGUGGAGACAGUCAAAAUGAGGCAGCACAACUCUAUUUUAGAGGACAAAGAAUCUGGUCAGUUGUCAUGGAAGAUUUGAUGUCGAAAGGAAUGCGCUAUGCUAAUCAGGCUCUUCUGUCUGGAUGUUCAGCUGGGGGUUUAGCAGCUAUAAUACAUUGCGACGAAUUCCGGCAUUUAUUUCCAAGAACUGCUAGAGUCAAGUGCCUCAGUGAUGCUGGUUUAUUCCUUGACGUACCUGACAUCUCUGGUUGGCGCACGUUAAGAUAUAUGUUUGCAGGAGUGGUCAUGCUGCAGGGGAUGCAAAAGAACCUGCCCCAGGGUUGUACUAAGCGCUUCAAUCCAAUCAUGUGCUUUUUCCCUCAGCGAUCAAUUGCUAGCGUCAGGACUCCACUUUUUCUUGUCAAUACAGCUUAUGAUACAUGGCAGGGUGUCACGACAUGUUAAUACCAACACCAUUUACGGCAGCAGUGUAUGCACUGAAUCGUUCAUACAGAUACAGUCAGAUCCAGGUCAGUUUAGCUCCUGCCUCAGCUGAUCAUCAUGGAUACUGGAACGGAUGCAGAAAAAACUAUGCACGCUGCACUGGAUCACAAAUUAGUUUUCUUCAAGGUUUCAGAAAUCAAAUGCUCUAUGCUGUAAGAGGCUUCUCAAGGUUGAAGAAAAACGGAUUCUUUAUAAAUUCAUGUUUUGCUCAUUGCCAGACAGAGAGACAGGACACAUGGUUUUCUCCAGGUUCUCCCCACAUUAAAAGCAAGGGGAUAGCGGAGUCUGUUGGCAACUGGUAUUUUGAUCGUGCUGUUAGCAUGGCUAUUGACUGUCCGUACCCUUGUGACAAUACCUGCCACCACCUGGUGUUCAAGUGAUUUUCUAGUUAUAAAGCUACGAUAUGUGUCAUUGAACUUUGAAGAAAAUAAAAUCUCGUUAAGCAGUUCAAGUGAUGGUCAUCAAGACUCGGUUGCCUUUUUCGUUUUUUCUCUUACAUCUUCACUGAGUUGAAGGGUCAUGAAAGUUGUAAAUGGCAACGUAGAAUUUAUAAGCUGUGAGAUUCAUGCAUGGGAACAUGCUGAAGGAUCUACUACACUUUUGGUUGUUAAGGAAACUUGGGGAGACAGCUGCCUGCUGAAACUAGCUAGUUUUGAUUCAGACAACUUCUAGGCAUUAGGAGUUCAAUUGUCAAUCACAAAAUAAUAAUGAUUAGAAGUACGUUGAUCAUAAUUUCUCAUGGCAUCAUAAGAAUUCUGCUUAGUCAUUUGAUAAAGACGGCCACCAGGAUGAUCAUCGGCAAAGUUAUUAUA
RNA transcript from Populus euphratica (Euphrates poplar), 2096 nucleotides. It is a transcript of the gene named protein notum homolog, with no coding region annotated. NCBI's taxonomy places the organism in Eukaryota, Viridiplantae, Streptophyta, Magnoliopsida, Malpighiales, Salicaceae. The record is from RefSeq and is a predicted model, not a curated record. The transcript is spliced from 14 exons.